This is a long non-coding RNA of Alosa alosa (allis shad), 1200 nucleotides long. RefSeq lists it as uncharacterized. Lineage: Eukaryota; Metazoa; Chordata; Actinopteri; Clupeiformes; Clupeidae. The transcript has 3 exons. The record is from RefSeq and is a predicted model, not a curated record.
UCACGAGAACGAUGCAAAAUACAUUACCUGCGUGGCCUAGCGGUUGCUGUCCGCCGUCCUCCCCGAAAAAUACUUUAAAAGGCACUUCAGUCCUGUGAGGCCACAAGUUGUCUCUGUUGAUGCUGCGCUCACCACUUCAUACACUGGCUGCUCCAGUUUCUCCCGGCGACUCCACUCCAAUACUGUCCCCUUGCUGCAAAAGAUGGAGGGGUUCCACAUAGCAGCACGGGCGACCAUCACUGAGCAUGCCCCGGUGGCCUCCCGGAACUUUGUGAUGUCUGAAUGGGUCUUCACCAAAUCAAGAGAGCCACCACUACAAGGCCAAAGAUAGAAGACUGUCUGAGACGCACCGUUCAACUAAGCAAAACAGACAGAGGCAGCGACAAUUUCAGUGCUGGACUCACUUAGCGAUAACGGGUAUUGACACCACCUUAGUCACUGCCUGGAUGUAGUCGCAGUGAACAGGAUGCUGAGGUCUCUCCUCUUUGAAUCUGGUCGAUGAUGAACAGUGAUAAACGUGUUUAAUGACAUAACGUGUUUAAUGACAUCAACAGAAGCUAAUAAGCAUCUUUCCAAAAAAACAUUCACAAAGCCACCUUAACAGUUUUACAGUUUACUAAUCUGCAGUUUCAAACAAAUUAAUCCAAACAUUUAACUGCAUAAGUAUACAUAUGCAUCUUUUUAUAGAAUUGUUGCAUUUUUUCUGCAAAAACACUUUCUUUUCAGACCUGAAUAAUUACUUCUUUUUUUUUUUUUAAAUCCCGUCUGGUAAACACAUCACCUCUCUACCCAAAUUGCUUAUUACUUUGGCCUUGUUUAAUAGAAAAAAACAUGCACAUUCUACUAAAUAUAUUCAGUAAUAAAAGUCAGUAAUAAUUGUGAAUAUAAAAAGCACAGGUAAGCAGAUGCAGACACAGUGGGAUUAACACAUUACCUGCCAUGCACAGCUAAGGCAGACACUCCAGUUUUUUCUAUUCUUUUCACCAAUUUUACAGUGUCUUCCAGCUGAAAGAUAUUUCAGAAAUCAUCAUAUUCUAUAUGAAAACCAAACCUUCUUAUCAAACCAACUGAAAAUGAAAUUGUAUGGAUCAUUACCAAGAUACUCACAGAUGGAAGAACUCUGAUUUUGCAUGUCACAGGCUUCGAUAGGCCAUUUACAAGUGUGGUCAAAAUCUUCAAAUAAAAGAAAUGUCAUCAACA